Glycine max (soybean) is the source of this 100-nucleotide non-coding RNA. The record is from Rfam. Lineage: Eukaryota; Viridiplantae; Streptophyta; Magnoliopsida; Fabales; Fabaceae.
GCCGAAGAUGAAGAGCUUUGUAUAUUCUGACACCUCUUGUAUGAGAUGGAUCUUUCAUUAAAGGUUUCAUCUUUGAGCACAGAAAGCAACUCUCUGAGUC